GGGGCUGUAGUCUAGCUUGGUUAGGACCUAUGCUUUGGGAGCAUAAAACCACGGUUCAAAUCCGUGCAGCCCCA
RNAcentral lists this transfer RNA (74 nucleotides) under Candidatus Iainarchaeum sp. RNAcentral describes it as "tRNA-Pro". It matches the Rfam family "tRNA". Rfam says of the family: Transfer RNA (tRNA) molecules are approximately 80 nucleotides in length. Their secondary structure includes four short double-helical elements and three loops (D, anti-codon, and T loops). The record is from RNAcentral. Lineage: Archaea; Nanobdellati; Candidatus Iainarchaeota; Candidatus Iainarchaeia; Candidatus Iainarchaeales; Candidatus Iainarchaeaceae.